Molecule: ribosomal RNA, 264 nt
Filed under: uncultured bacterium
Lineage: Bacteria
Description: partial 16S ribosomal RNA
Rfam family: Bacterial small subunit ribosomal RNA
Source: RNAcentral
ACUGAGUGGCGGACGGGUGAGUAACGCGUGGGUAACCUGCCCUGUACAGGGGGACAACAGUUAGAAAUGACUGCUAAUACCGCAUAAGCGCACAGGACCGCAUGGUCCGGUGUGAAAAACUCCGGUGGUACAGGAUGGACCCGCGUCUGAUUAGGUAGUUGGCGGGGUAACGGCCCACCAAGCCGACGAUCAGUAGCCGACCUGAGAGGGUGAUCGGCCACAUUGGGACUGAGACACGGCCCAAACUCCUACGGGAGGCAGCAG